Non-coding RNA from Danio rerio (zebrafish), 117 nucleotides. The record is from Rfam. Lineage: Eukaryota; Metazoa; Chordata; Actinopteri; Cypriniformes; Danionidae.
UGCCACAGCAAUAUCGCCCUGCAGCCUAAGACUGGUUACUUACUGAAGUUAAGCAGGGCUGAGUCGGGUCAGUUCCUGGAUGGGGGACCACAUGGGAAAGUUAGGUUGCUGUUAGGU